CCACCCCUAUACAAACAGUCAUAUCUAUUUUUAUCUAUUAUAUAUAAUAGUUUCUCAAUAAAACAUUAACUCUCUCCUCAUAAACACCCCCAAUCCCGUGAAUCGUUUUAUCUUCCUCAUUUUCUCUAAAACUAGCAAACCAAUGGCCAAUGCGCCACCGUUAAUCUCUCUCCUCCUCCUCUCUGCCGCCGUAUUUUUCACCCUUCCCGCCGCUAUAUCCUCCAUAGGCGUUAACUACGGCACUCUAGGAAACCUUCCACCGCCGACUCAGGUGGCGAACUUCCUCAAGACUCAGACUUCCAUCGACAGCGUCAAGAUCUUCAACGUGAACCCCGAUAUCAUCCGUGCCUUCGCCGGAACAGGAAUCUCCCUCGUAGUCACCGUCCCUAACGGUGAUAUCCCGGCGUUAGCUAACGGAGUACAAGCUCGUCGGUGGGUUGCUGCUAAUAUUCAACCGUUUCAUCCUCAGACAAAGAUCAAGUAUAUCUCUGUCGGAAAUGAGAUUCUUCUGUCCGGUGAUGAUAACAUGAUCAAGAAUCUUUUACCGGCGAUGAAGAAUCUUAACGCUGCUUUGUUUCAUGCUGGUGUCAAAGAUAUUAAGGUUACAACCGCACAUUCGCUUAACAUCAUAGCCUAUGAACUGAACGGUGCACCAAGCAGCGGUCGAUUCAGACCCGGCUGGGACAAAGGCGUAUUGGCUCCAAUCCUAGCGUUCCAUCGCGAGACCAAGUCUCCUUUCGUGGUCAACCCUUACCCUUACUUCGGUUUCGAUCCCAAAAACGUCAACUUCGCCAUUUUCCGCUCACCGUACAAGGAGGUCCGUGACCCGUUAACCGGAAAAGUCUACACAAACAUGUACGAUACUCUAAUGGACUCGACUUACUCAGCCAUGAAAGCUCUCGGCUACAGUGAUGUUGACAUCGUCGUUGGUGAGACGGGCUGGCCGUCUGCCUGCGAUGCGCCUUGGUGCUCUCCUGAAAACGCGGCUUGGUUCAACCUCAACAUUAUUAAACGUGCACAAGGCCAAGGAACACCUCUCAUGCCUAACAGACGGUUCGAGACUUACAUUUUCGGUUUGUUCAACGAAGAAGGCAAGCCCGGUCCAACCGCAGAGCGGAACUGGGGGCUUUUCUGGCCAGAUUUUUCACCGGUUUACGACGUUGGCCUCCUCAGAAACAAACAAGCUGGUGGUGGUGGUGGACGUCCAGCACCAGCAUUGCCAGCGCCUAGUGGUGGUGGUAAAUGGUGUGUGGCCAAGUCGGAAGCUACUGAUGCGCAGUUGCAGGGAAAUAUUGACUGGGUGUGUAACCAGGGAGGCGUUGACUGUAAACCGAUCCAAACCGGUGGUUCGUGCUCUAACCCGAACAGUUUGAGGACACAAGCGUCUUUUGUGAUGAAUGCUUAUUUCCAGAAACACGGUCGAACUGACCAGUCAUGUUAUUUCAGCGGAAGCGGAGUCAUCGUAGGGGAACAACCCAAGCAAUGGUGCGUGUAAGUACUAUAAGUGCGACAUCUCUCUAAGAGAUUUGUCUAUGUAGCAUUUGUUUGGAAUAAAAAAAAAAAGACUUCAAAUUAUGGUUUGAGGUUUUUUUGUUUGAUUUUCUGGAUAUGCUUCUAGUUUUGAGGUUGCUCUAUUCAUUUCCUUUUUUUUUCAAAUCCUUUUAUUUGAAUAAAUAAGGAGGAAAUUCUUAUAAUAUUUGCUUAGACAUACGCUUAACGCGUUGAUCACGCUGGCUCGUGAUCUUUAUGUUUGAUAGAUGGUCCAUCAACCUAUAAAGCAAUUUGAACGUUAGAACA
This is an RNA transcript of Brassica rapa (field mustard), 1797 nucleotides long. It is a transcript of the gene named glucan endo-1,3-beta-glucosidase-like, with no coding region annotated. Lineage: Eukaryota; Viridiplantae; Streptophyta; Magnoliopsida; Brassicales; Brassicaceae. The record is from RefSeq and is a predicted model, not a curated record.